Molecule: long non-coding RNA, 6642 nt
Organism: Brassica rapa (field mustard)
Lineage: Eukaryota; Viridiplantae; Streptophyta; Magnoliopsida; Brassicales; Brassicaceae
Source: RefSeq, a predicted model, not a curated record
GUGAACUUUCCUUUUUUAUGAAAUCAUAUUAUAUAUACAUAUAUUUUCGUUUUUCAAUUCUUUUUUUUUACUUUAUAAAAAAUUUCUUUUUUAUUAUAUGUGUAUAUUUUCGAAAUUUUUAAAAAGGAAACUAAAUAAAAUAAAAAAUAAUAGUAUUUUAUAUGUAAGUUAAUUCAUUAAGGGUAUCAGUGUAAUCAACAAUCGUGAGAGUUAACGUGAGAGCGACACAUAGGAAAUGACUUCUCAAAUAAUAUUAUAGAGAUAUAGCCACGCCUUCUCAAAUGCAUCAAACCAAACUAAGACCAAUAAAACAUUAUAGCCAUUAUGAACUAACGUGGACUAACGUGAGCAAGCAAAGAAAAUCAAGAGCAAAAAUGUAUUGAGGCAAAACCUGUUUAGGGUUUGUCUAUUGAUUAUGUGAAUUGAAAAAAAUUUACAAUCUCUUAGACUCAGUAUUUAUCUUAGCCCCAAAAUCAAAUCUCAAUUUCUUUUUAAACAGUUCGUGAAAAUGAAAUUUUCUUAAACCGAAAAACCACAACAAAUGUUGGUAUUUUACUGGUGGUUAAAACAUUUUCAGAAUUAACAUGACAUAUAAUGAAACAUCUCCGCAAAAUUAAGAACGUCAAAAUAAGCCGUAAGUUCAUAAGCUUGCUCAACUCUGCUUAAAUUUUUCAUAAGUAUGGACAUCUUUUAGGCUCAUUUAUAAAUGAACUUAAUAAUCAAGCUUAAUUUAGAUCACAAGUUACAUUAAAGCUUAACUAAUUCAUGAGGUUGGUAUUUUUUGAGUUAAAACUAUAUAUAUAUAUAUAUCUUAACACUUGAGCUUUUGUUUCAUUUUUUAAUUUUAUAAAUUAAAUAUAGUGACAUAUAAAUUAUCUAACACUACUAAAAGCUGAAUAAGGAGAGCAACGAGCGUGCCACGUAGGAUUUUUUAUUCAGGCCAAUCAUGAAGCUCUGUUUUGCCACAUCACUUUUAUUUUGUCGACAAAAAAUAUAACAGGUCCAGUAAAUCUGGGCUGAACAAAAAUAAUAGGUCUAUCUUAUUCUACGCAGAAUGUUCGUCGCCUUCACCUCCGACUUUUCCAAUUCACUAUUCUAAUCUCUGCAAUCUCUCUGUAAUUAUUACACCCCAAUCUUGCUCAUUCAAUUCUGAUCUUUUCUCCUAUCUUCAUUAGAGAUUAUCGUUCCACCUUCCUUUAUAACAUUUAAAUAGAAUCAAGGAAAAUUACACUAUAUUAUUAAAGUUGCUUUGAUACCUGAUUUUAUUUUUAUUUUUACGUAAUAGGAGGACUAUUACCCAAAAGAAAGCAAAGACACUUCAGAAGUCAUACAAUCAAUGCACAUUAUACCUCACUAUUUAUCACUUCAAUUGUUAUGACUUAUGAGUAGUGGUGUCAAAAUGAACUAAAUUAGUCAUCUUAUCUUAUACUCGUGAUGAGUUGGGUUUAUCAUAAGCUACCUCAAUUCAUUUAUUAUAUGAGGUUUAAUAUAUAAACUUGAGCUCAUAUGGGUUUGAACAUGGAUUAAAUCACAAUCUAAUAUAAAAUAAAUAAUUGACUGUAACAAUUGGAAAACAAACUUAAAGAACGGUUGUGACUUUAACUAAAGUAGAACUUAAUUAGAGGAUUGAGACUUAUAUCAGUACUUGAUUGUAAGGUGUCACUUAUAUUCAAAAUUGCGAGUAACAAACAGAAUAACGAGUUCUGAUUAACCCGGCUUCCACACGCCAGGAAUAUCAAAGAAGAAAUACAACACCAUGAUCUAUAUUAUUAAUUGUUAUCAACUUAACAACAAAUACAACACCAUGUAGUUAUCAUGUCCAUCACAUGGACAGAGUUUAUAUUAGUUAAUUAAAAUUUCUUUGCUUGAAGCCUACCAAGAAGCUAUACCAAUGGAUCAUACCAAACACAAGAUCUUCAAAGACGAAAUUAUAGGUCAAGCACAAAGAAUGGAUGGUCAUCCAAUGUGCCUUUUCUUGACAAACGCGUAAUACGUCCCAACUACUAACGCAAAGUAAUAAGCUUAGCGAUAAGCGAUUGUAUAAAAAAAAAUACAAAAUAUCUUUAAAGACACGGUCUAGGUCAAGCACAAAGAAUGUAUGGCCAUAACCAAUGUGUUUUCUCUUGACGACGCGUAGUACAUCCUAUGACAAAGUAAUAAGCCAACGAGGUAAGUGAUUGCAAACAUAAGCCGACAAAAAACAGUGUACAUUUAAACUUAACCUAAAUGACACAAAAAACACAUACAGUAUUUGCAUUUGUAGAGAUAGGUGAAAAAAAAAUAAUACAUAAAUAAGGUAGAUAUUUUAGUUGCUAAAGGAUACAACCUAAAUGAAUUUUGGUGUUUUGUCGCAGAGUGACUUCAGUGAUGUCAAUAAAUAAACCAUAAGAUGAAAUGCAAAACACAGCUUUUGAAAAGUAUGGAAGAAAAGAAGGAAAUAUUAUAUAAAUGUUUAUGUUUUCACAGAAGAACGUUAGAGGAACAACAUAAUCCUGCAUUUCUAAUGGCAUGGUUUAGCACCGGUAGACCCCAAUAAUGUGGCUGCAUGAUUCCUAGGGAAGUAAAAGAAGGAUUCAACAAGGUUGUUUGUGAUUAAACUAAACGAACGGUAUCUAGUUCAUUUAGGCUUCCAAGGCCAAAGAAUUUAACUUCCUAUUGUUAAACCAUAAAGUAACAAAAACAAAACUUACUGGAUGAUAGUUCAAUCAAAGCCAUCAAGUUUCUACAAACUUUUUUUUUUUUGCUGUAAAGUUGUAACUGUAAGCUAACUAACUAACCACAGAACAUUCAACAGUACUGUAAAGAGAUUGAACAGUUCUCACGCUGUGGGCAUCCACAACUAACCUGGUAGGCUAGUUGGUGGGUAGAAAUUUUUGUAAGGAGUUUCUAGCAAUACAAAAAUAGAAAAGAAAGAGAAAAUGGAAAUUCUAAUUUUAUAAAAUAUUUAAUUUUAAAGAAUAACUAUUUUCAUAAAUAUAUUAAAUUUGUGGUGAAAAAUACUAAACUAACCCUCUUAAAUCAUUUAUAAAUGUUUAAAAAUUAUUUAUAAAGUUUAUAAAACCAGUCUCAUCCAUAAAUAAGAAACCCUAUAAAUAAUCAUUAAAUUUUAAACUAAAAAUAUUAGAGCAUUUUUUAUUGAAAGUAUAUUUGAAAAGUAAUAUUUAGUUUAUGGUAUUUCAAAUAAUUUCUAAGAGAAAAUAGAUAUAAGUGGUGAUUGGUAAGUGUUGUGAGUGUUUUUCACUGCUCAUUUUCUUUCUACAGCUAGCCAGUUUGGUUUAUCAAUCAUGCUUUAAAUAAAUAAUUUAAAGCUACAGCCCUAAAGUUAAAAAACAAAAAUAUAUUAGCUUUGGGAAUCAAUUUUCUAAAGCUUUAUAUUUAGUACUUUGAAAGCUAUUGAUAUAAAUCUACAGCAGUAAAAUCUACAGCUACACCAGAAAAACUUACAUAAUAAUAUAUUCUAAAGCAAACAAAAUAAAAGCUACAAUCUCUACCAAUUAAAUACUUUUCCAUAAUUUUGAGAGAUUUUAUUGCCACAUCCUAACUGUUUAAUGCUUCAUCACUUUUAUAAAUACAGAAUCACCCGAUUUUUACAUGUGUGAUUUUUAAUGGACUAACCUUGUAAAUUUUAUUUUAAUAGGAAAAUAUGUUAAAACAUUGAUAUCUUUUACCAGUAUUAAAUAUAGAGUAAUUGGCGUAGAUACACUCAGAAACCCAUGUAAUUUGUCAUAUAACCUUGUUUAUUUUAAAUAUUUUUAAUGAUUAUAAUACACUUAUCUCUCUCUCUCUCUCUCUUCUCUCUUUUAUGUGUUCUAAUCUCUUUAUCUCUCGUACAAAUUCUUCAAAUCAUUUUUUAAUUCAACACAAAUUUUUUUUUAUUCUGAUUCUUUUGACACACAUAAUGCUAAUCUUAUUAUCUCACCCCAAUUCCAAUGUUUCCAAUUUCGAAUCACAAUCAACUUUUAGAUAAUAUAUACGUUAGUAAGUAUUUUAUUACUUAUCUGCUAUUAUUUGGAUUUUAAUGGAUUCUUAAUCGAUACAUGAAGUGUUAGCUGUUACAAAUAGAUUUUGAGCUAUUUAAUAGAUAACUAAUUAAUUGUUAAUAGUUUCAUUAACUGAUAUAUGAUUUGUUAGUUGAUACAUUUGUUUGAUACAUAGAUUGUUAGAUGAUACUGAAAUUAUUAGCGGAUAUGUUAGUUGGUAUAUAGAUUGUUACAUGCUAUGUAAAUAUUUAGCUGAUAAAUCUAGAGUUACUUGUUUUCGACAAAUCAUAAGGGCAUUUUCGUCCGCACAGUGUCAAAAGGUUACUUCUUUUUGGGUUAUCCAUAAUUAUGGGCAUUCAGCAAAUUUGGAUCUUAAUUGGGGAUAUUCCACACAUUGUCCUUUUCAUAUACUGAAUAUAUUUGUAAAAUAUAUCAUGAAUAUAUUUGUAAAAUCAAUGGUUAAUUAAUUAAUUCAAAAUUUAAAUGAAUAAGAAUAUUUUUUGCAUAUCCUUUUCAUAUACUUUUAAACUAAUUAUAAAUAGACUCUUUUAAUAUUAUUUUGUACACUUCAUUAUUAAUAAAUAAUAAAUAAAUUUAUAAAUCCCUCGAUAUUCUCUUUUUAAUUAUAGAGAAUUAAUAAUUUUACUAAAUAUUUAGUUAUUUUUUCUGUUUGUUAAAUUUUAACCAUUUUACUAAAAGAUAUUUUCUGGAUAACAGUACAACAUAUAUCAAAAUUAUCUUUUCUUUUUACAUAUAUCUUUAGAUUAUGAAUAAUUUUUAUUUUUAUUAAUUUUAGUCACUUAUCUAAUCAAAUAAAUAUUAAAAUCACUUUGAAAAUAAUAAUAUAGAUAGAUCUUUGUAACAUAUUUAAUAUAUAUAUAUAUAUAUAUAUUCAAAAAAACAUAAAAAUAAGGAUUUUGAAACAAGUUUAAUUGGAUCAAAUCAUAUUAAGUUGUGACCUAAAUAGUUAUCUAGUUUCAUCUUUUGGUCGGGUUUUAAAAAUAGAGAAAAUUGCCAAAAUGGUAUAAAAGAACAACAUGGUUGUCCUUAUAGUAUAAUAUCAACAUGAAGUUGUCCUAAUAGUAUAAUUUUUUUUAUAAUCCCAAAACUAACCUUGAUUAAUCAUAUUAAACAAUUAAAUAUAAUAAUGAAAAUGUUAAAGGUUUAAUUAAAAAAAAUUGUGAUGUCAAAAAAAAAAAUUAAAUAUAAUAAUAUUAAACAUAAAAAUAUAUUUCAUAUUAAACAAUUAAAAAUGUGUUGUCAAAAAAAACAAUUUAACAUAAUAAUAGAUUUCAUAUUAAACAAUUAAGCAUAAUAAUAAAAAAAAAGAAAAGAAAAAACAAAAUGGUAACAAAAAAAGAACAAAAGAAAACCCGAACCCUAAAUUUCUCCCAUACACCACAUAUUGUAUAGAUAUGCAUCAUAGAACAAGAGUUUGUGAAAAUCACAAGAUAAACUAUGAAAAAAUCAUAAGAUUGAUGAAGAAUAAAGGCAAAUUUGAUUUUUUUUUUAUAUCUUGACAUAGAAAAUCGACCAGAACACGUUUUAGGAAGUUAUAAUAUUUUUGGAAUAUUUUUUUAACUGAAACUUCCUUAAUUUUUGUAAAAACAAAUUUUUUUUAUCUGUAGAAGGCACCUUCUAUACUUUGUAGAAUCAUGAAAAAAUACAUAAUGCAAUUUCUACUUCUUGUAUACGUUCGUGUUAAGUACAAAAUGCAAUUUCUACUUUUUAUAGACAUUCAAAUUAAGUCCAGAUUUCGUUUUCUCGAAAUCUUAGAAUACUUCAUAAAAGUAGAAUCUAUAUUCUGAAGAAGAGUAGCGAUAUUUACAAUAUAGAUUUCGUUUUUGAGUCUAUCAGAUAAUCAGAAUCAGCCAAUAAACAGGCAUUAUCACGAAAGUGAUGUCUUAUAAGUACCUUCAACACAUUAGGUUCACCCCAAAGCAAAAUAAACCAAAAAAAUACAAAAAUACAAUAACAGAGCUCUAAUGCAACAAGAAACCAAACAACUUCACUAUAUCCAAAUACAGAAAAUAAUUCAUAUCUUUAAUGAUAAAGCGAUGUGUAAAGAUAUACCAAAAAUAUUUACUUUUUCUUCUCAUAAUUGAUGUUGUAACCCUUAAUCUAGUGGUUUAAGGUUCAUUACUUCUUUUACACCAGAAGGUGUGGAAUUUAAACCCCAGAAAUUGCAAAUUAUACAGAUUAUGGAAAAAAAAGUUACAAGAGGUCUUCAUUACACAAUUAGGGAGCUAGAGGAAAUGCAUCUCAAGUACAUCAGUUAGUAGGUACGAGAGGAUUAAUGUCGGAUCCCCAAAGACAAAUGAUUGAUUUACCUAUUCAAAGCAAUUUACGCGAAGAACUGUCUUUAACAGAAUAUAUUAUUUUUUGCUAUGGAGCCCGUAAAGGAGUUGUAGAUAUUGCGGUCCACACAUCAGAUGCUGGAUAUCUUACGCGUCGACUUGUUGAAUUAGUUCAAUAUAUUGUUGUACUUCAGGAGAAAUUAUAAAAAAUAGAAGUAUAUUUACGUUAAGUAUAUAUAUAAUAUAUAGAAGUAUAGAACUAAUAUAUGUAUAUGUUUAAUAUUAAAUCUUAAAGCAUUCAGAAUUUAUUUCUUAUAAUAUUUAUUUCUUAUAAAUUUUCUAAACAGAAUAAAAAUAUUCUUAUA